RNAcentral lists this long non-coding RNA (378 nucleotides) under Brassica napus (rape). Its description in RNAcentral is "long non-coding RNA (BNAP_LNC021530)". Lineage: Eukaryota; Viridiplantae; Streptophyta; Magnoliopsida; Brassicales; Brassicaceae. The record is from RNAcentral.
AAGUAAAAAUGGUUAAGGGCUUUUUAUAUACUUUUCAUUCUGAUGGGUUAUUUGGGAUUUAAAGUUUUUGACAUUCUCAGAGGUUCCAUAAAUUUGCAGCAGGUAACGUCAUUUUCCCUUUAUGAGUCCGUGCAAUAAGCUUGAAGACAGAGGUGGAUGGGACGAGCUUGCUGUGAUGGGUGGGGCGGAGAGGCGUUGGAUCUGAAGAAACUGUGUAGUGGAGAUGGCAGAGGAAGCUAGCUGUGGUAGUGGUGGCGGCACUAAAAGAUAGAGCACUAGAAGAUAGGAGAUGAAUUUUAGGUUUAGAAAUUUUAGGUUUAGUUAAAAAUUUGGUUUAGUUUGGUUUAGUUUAAUAUCACAUUCAUAAAUAUGUAAACA